Drosophila ananassae is the source of this 619-nucleotide long non-coding RNA. RefSeq lists it as uncharacterized. The transcript is spliced from 2 exons. NCBI's taxonomy places the organism in Eukaryota, Metazoa, Arthropoda, Insecta, Diptera, Drosophilidae. The record is from RefSeq and is a predicted model, not a curated record.
GCCACCUUCCAAUAGAUUGAGGCCCUGAAUCUCAUUCACAAAAGCCUGAAAUAUCAACCGAUGGUUAUUAAAUCAUUUUUCUAAAAGAUGAAGCGCGGCAUCAUAAUGCUCCUUGGAGAUUUCAAAGGAACGAACUGCCUCUAAGUCCCGAUAAGCUAGAUCUCAAAAACAGGAUCGCAACCACCUUACUUAUAUGAGGAUUGUAGUCCACGAUUGUUGAGAAAGCCGAGUAAAACUUCCACUCCCACUCCAAAUAUUCGUUAAGCGGAGGUUAUUCGGAGUAGGCUGAGUUUUAUUUGGCUUUAGGAAGAGAAGGCAAGGCUUGAAAACUCUGACUGGGCACCCUGGAAAGGGUGGAAUGGGCAGCAAUUCGAGCGAAGCGCAACGACGACUCGUGCUCGAUUUCGUCAUGCAUCGUCGCUACAAGCUCAGACUCGGUCCAUCGCAAGUCGCUGCUGAUCUCUGAAAUUUCCAGUUCUUCAAGCUUCCCGUGGAUGGCCUUAAAAUUCUGUACAUAGCGACCACCUGGCCAUGACUCAUGUGGAGCAUAGCAUCGUCCACCUUGGACACUAGCUGAAACCGAUUUAUAAAUACAAAAUGCUUGUUUUUCAGCCACGGA